RNAcentral lists this ribosomal RNA (951 nucleotides) under Pseudomonas entomophila. Its description in RNAcentral is "bacterial SSU rRNA". It matches the Rfam family "Bacterial small subunit ribosomal RNA", at positions 37 to 977 of the family's 1533-position model. The record is from RNAcentral. Lineage: Bacteria; Pseudomonadati; Pseudomonadota; Gammaproteobacteria; Pseudomonadales; Pseudomonadaceae.
UGGUGCCCUUCGCAUACACAUGCAGUCGAGCGAUGACGAGAGAGCUUGCUCUUUGAUUCAGCGGCGGACGGGUGAGUAAUGCCUAGGAAUCUGCCUGGUAGUGGGGGACAACGUUUCGAAAGGAACGCUAAUACCGCAUACGUCCUACGGGAGAAAGCAGGGGACCUUCGGGCCUUGCGCUAUCAGAUGAGCCUAGGUCGGAUUAGCUAGUUGGUGGGGGAGUGGCUCACCCAGGCGACGAUCCGUAACUGGUCUGAGAGGAUGAUCAGUCACACUGGAACUGACACACGGUCCAGACUCAUACGGAAGGCAGCAGUGGGGAAUAUUGAACAAUGGGCGAAAGCCUGAUCCAGCCAUGCCGCGUGUGUGAGGAAGGUCUUCGGAUUGUAAAUCACUUUAAGUUGGGAGGAAGGACAGUAAGUUAAUACCUUGCUGUUUUGACGUUACCGACAGAAUAAGCACCGGCUAACUCUGUGCCAGCACCCGCGGUAAUACAGAGGGAGCGAGCGUUAAUCUGAAUUACUGUGCGUAAAGCGCGCGUAGGUGGGUGGUUAAGUUGGAUGUGAAAGCCCCGGCCCUCAACCUGGGAACUGCAUCCAAAACUGGCAAGCUAAAGUAGGGUAGAGGGGGGGGUAUUUUCUGUGUAGCGCGAAUGAGUAGAUAUAAGAAGGAGAACCAGUGCGAGCUGACCGCCUCGAUUGAUACUGACGACUGAGUUGCGAAGGCGUGGGUGAGCAAACUAGAAUUAGAUACCCCGGCUAGUCCACGCCGCAAAGAAGUAACUAGUCGUUUGGAUCCUUCAUAAUUUUAUGCCCGCCACUAACGUCAUUAAGUUGACCGCCUGGGGAGUACGACCGCAGAUUAAUAACUCAAAUUGAAUUAGCCGGCGGCCCGCACCAAGCGGUGGACCAUGUGGUUAAUUUAGUAGCAAGCGGAAGGAAGCAUCACUCA